This 259-nucleotide ribosomal RNA is filed under the name uncultured bacterium. Its description in RNAcentral is "partial 16S ribosomal RNA". It matches the Rfam family "Bacterial small subunit ribosomal RNA", at positions 524 to 776 of the family's 1533-position model. The record is from RNAcentral.
UACGUAGGGGGCAAGCGUUGUCCGGAUUUAUUGGGCGUAAAGAGCGUGUAGGCGGCCAUACAGGUCAGCUGUGAAAACUCGAGGCUCAACCUCGAGACGUCGGUUGAAACCGUAUGGCUAGAGUCCGGAAGAGGAGAGGUGGAAUUCCCGGUGUAGCGGUGAAAAUGCGCAGAUAUCGGGAAGAACACCCCGUGGCGAAGGCGGCUCUCUGGGGACGGUACUGACGCUGAGACGCGGAAAAGCGUGGGGAGCGAACAGG